CUGAGUCGUCGACACGAGUUGUUGCUGGUCCUCAAACGGGGGACAUGUGCACGCUCUGUUUACACAUCCACUCACACCUGUGCACCCUCUGUAGUUCCCUUCUGUGGUUCUGCAUCUUUACACACACACUGUAACAAAGUUUUAUGGAAUGUGCAUCGCGUUUAACGCAGUAUAAUA
RNAcentral lists this unclassified non-coding RNA (177 nucleotides) under uncultured fungus. RNAcentral describes it as "sequence contains ITS1, 5.8S rRNA gene". The record is from RNAcentral. Lineage: Eukaryota; Fungi.